This 621-nucleotide ribosomal RNA is filed under the name uncultured bacterium. RNAcentral describes it as "bacterial SSU rRNA". It matches the Rfam family "Bacterial small subunit ribosomal RNA", at positions 28 to 690 of the family's 1533-position model. The record is from RNAcentral.
GAUGAACGCUGGCGGUAUGCUUUACACAUGCAAGUCGUACGAGAGUUUUUAACUCUAGUGGCGGACGGGUGAGUAACACGUAAGAAUUUGCCUUUAGGAGGGGGAUAACAACUGGAAACGGUUGCUAAUACCCCAUAUGCUUUCGAGUGAAAUGGAUUUCCGCCUAAAGAGAAGCUUGCGGCUGAUUAGCUUGUUGGUGAGGUAAUGGCUCACCAAGGCGACGAUCAGUAUCUGGUUUGAGAGGACGAUCAGACACACUGGAACUGAGACACGGUCCAGACUCCUACGGGAGGCAGCAGUGGGGAAUUUUCCGCAAUGGGCGAAAGCCUGACGGAGCAAUACCGCGUGAGGGAUGAAGGCCUAUGGGUUGUAAACCUCUUUUUUCAGGGAGGAACAAAAUGACGUGUACCUGAAGAAUAAGCAUCGGCUAACUCCGUGCCAGCAGCCGCGGUAAGACGGGGGAUGCAAGUGUUAUCCGGAAUCACUGGGCGUAAAGCGUCUGUAGGUGGUUAAGUAAGUCAACUGUUAAAUCUUGAGGCUUAACCUCAAAAUCGCAGUCGAAACUGCUUGACUAGAGUAUAGUAGGGGUAAAGGGAAUUUCCAGUGGAGCGGUGAAAUGCG